GAUGAACGCUGGCGGCGUGCUUAACAAAUGCAAGUCGAACGAACCUUCGGGUUAGUGGCGGACGGGUGAGUAACGCGUGAGAAUCUGCCCUCAGGAGGGGGAUAACGGUUGGAAACGACCGCUAAUACCCCAUAUGCCGAUAGGUGAAAUGGAUUUCGCCUGAGGAUGAGCUCGCGUCUGAUUAGCUUGUUGGUGAGGUAAUGGCUCACCAAGGCUUCGAUCAGUAGCUGGUCUGAGAGGAUGAUCAGCCACACUGGGACUGAGACACGGCCCAGACUCCUACGGGAGGCAGCAGUGGGGAAUUUUCCGCAAUGGGCGAAAGCUGACGGAGCAACGCCGCGUGAGGGACGAAGGCCUCUGGGCUGUAAACCUCUUUUCUCAAGGAAGAAGAUAUGACGGUACUUGAGGAAUAAGCCACGGCUAAUUCCGUGCCAGCAGCCGCGGUAAUACGGAGUGGCAAGCGUUAUCCGGAAUUAUUGGGCGUAAAGCGUCCGCAGGCGGCCUUUCAAGUCUGCUGUUAAAGCGUGGAGCUUAACUCCAUUAUGGCAGUGGAAACUGAUCGGCUUGAGUAUGGUAGGGGCAGAGGGAAUUCCCGGUGUAGCGGUGAAAUGCGUAGAUAUCGGGAAGAACACCAGUGGCGAAGGCGCUCUGCUGGGCCAUUACUGACGCUCAUGGACGAAAGCCAGGGGAGCGAAAGGGAUUAGAUACCCCUGUAGUCCUGGCCGUAAACGAUGAACACUAGGUGUCGGGGGAAUCGACCCCUUCGGUGUCGUAGCUAACGCGUUAAGUGUUCCGCCUGGGGAGUACGCACGCAAGUGUGAAACUCAAAGGAAUUGACGGGGGCCCGCACAAGCGGUGGAGUAUGUGGUUUAAUUCGAUGCAACGCGAAGAACCUUACCAGGGUUUGACAUCCUGAGAACCUCUUAGAAAUUUGAGGGUGCCUUCGGGAAUUCAGUGACAGGUGGUGCAUGGCUGUCGUCAGCUCGUGUCGUGAGAUGUUGGGUUAAGUCCCGCAACGAGCGCAACCCACGUUUUUAGUUGCCAGCAUUUAGUUGGGCACUCUAGAAAGACCGCCGGUGAUAAACCGGAGGAAGGUGUGGAUGACGUCAAGUCAUCAUGCCCCUUACACCCUGGGCUACACACGUACUACAAUGCUACGGACAAAGGGCAGCAAACUCGCGAGAGCUAGCAAAUCCCAUAAACCGUGGCUCAGUUCAGAUCGUAGGCUGCAACUCGCCUACGUGAAGUAGGAAUCGCUAGUAAUCGCAGGUCAGCAUACUGCGGUGAAUACGUUCCCGGGCCUUGUACACACCGCCCGUCACACCAUGGAAGUUGGCCAUGCCCGAAGUCGUUACUCCAACCCUUGUGGAGGAGGACGCCGAAGGUGGGGCUAAUGACUGGGGUGAAGUCGUAACAAGGUAGCCGUACCGGAAGGUGCGGCUGGAUCACCUCCU
RNAcentral lists this ribosomal RNA (1454 nucleotides) under uncultured Prochlorococcus sp. MB11F02. RNAcentral's name for it is "16S ribosomal RNA". It matches the Rfam family "Bacterial small subunit ribosomal RNA". The record is from RNAcentral. Lineage: Bacteria; Bacillati; Cyanobacteriota; Cyanophyceae; Synechococcales; Prochlorococcaceae.